Molecule: transfer RNA, 75 nt
Filed under: Umbribacter vaginalis
Lineage: Bacteria; Bacillati; Actinomycetota; Coriobacteriia; Eggerthellales; Eggerthellaceae
Description: Eggerthellaceae bacterium DNF00809 tRNA-Thr
Rfam family: tRNA
About the family: Transfer RNA (tRNA) molecules are approximately 80 nucleotides in length. Their secondary structure includes four short double-helical elements and three loops (D, anti-codon, and T loops). Further hydrogen bonds mediate the characteristic L-shaped molecular structure. tRNAs have two regions of fundamental functional importance: the anti-codon, which is responsible for specific mRNA codon recognition, and the 3' end, to which the tRNAs corresponding amino acid is attached (by aminoacyl-tRNA synthetases). tRNAs cope with the degeneracy of the genetic code in two manners: having more than one tRNA (with a specific anti-codon) for a particular amino acid; and 'wobble' base-pairing, i.e. permitting non-standard base-pairing at the 3rd anti-codon position.
Source: RNAcentral
GCCAGCAUGGCUCAACGGUAGAGCAACUGAUUUGUAAUCAGUAGGUUGCGGGUUCGAUUCCUGCUGCUGGCACCA